Molecule: non-coding RNA, 672 nt
Filed under: Pongo abelii (Sumatran orangutan)
Lineage: Eukaryota; Metazoa; Chordata; Mammalia; Primates; Hominidae
Source: RNAcentral
CUCCCGAGUCAUGUGGAAAUGCUCAUUCUGCAGCCUGUUUCGUGGUCUACAGACUCUAGCUCAAGCUACAGGAUCAAGGCUCUAUCCACGGAAGGUUGGCAUCUGAACUGUGUAAGGGUCUAAGGCUUAGACCACUUGAAGACUUCCCCAUCAUGAGAUGCUAGGUCUUUUAUUGGGUGCUGGUUCUUAACUCUGGACUUCUCUACAAGUUUUGUCAAACUAUCAAAUGCAGAGCAAAUUGGAGGCCUGCCAGAGCACCCAGAGGGUGGAAUGAAGCAACAGAGAGGCAUCAGGAAAGGAGAACACAGAUGGAGACAGAGAUGGGAGGCAUAAGCACCACCUACUGGCACAGGCUGUGCACUUGCACAGAUAGGAGAGCUGAAAAGUUGGUCACGGAUGGAAAUAACUGCUGGUUUCACAAAUGAGGAGGCGGAAAAUUCCACUUAAUUUCACUAUUACAAUGCUCAGCAGAAAAAAAAAAAAACACUUGGAUUGCUGAGCUACAGAACACCCAGACUCAUAGCACUGGGACUUCCAGGUCUUACCUUACGAGUGGGUCAAAACACUGACAAAGGGGACAAUAUCCAUUAGCCAUUAUCUUGCUGCGUAUGAAUAACCCUCUCUCACAAAAAAUAAAGAUAAAUAUGUUCUGAAAUAAUUGAUAAAAUUAAA